Molecule: ribosomal RNA, 440 nt
Filed under: uncultured bacterium
Lineage: Bacteria
Description: partial 16S ribosomal RNA
Rfam family: Bacterial small subunit ribosomal RNA
Source: RNAcentral
CCUACGGGUGGCAGCAGUGGGGAAUAUUGCACAAUGGGGGAAACCCUGAUGCAGCGACGCCGCGUGAAGGAAGAAGUUUUUCGGUAUGUAAACUUCUAUCAGCAGGGAAGAAAAUGACGGUACCUGACUAAGAAGCCCCGGCUAACCACGUGCCCGCAGCCGCGGUAAUACGUAGGGGGCAAGCGUUAUCCGGAUUUACUGGGUGUAAUGGGAGCGUAGGCGGCAAUGCAAGUCAGAAGUGAAAGGCCGGGGCUCAACUCCGGGACUGCUUUUGAAACUGUGUUGCUAGAGUGCAGGAGAGGUAAGUGGAAUUCCUGGUGUAGCGGUGAAAUGCGUAGAUAUUAGGAAGAACACCAGUGGCGAAGGCAGCUUACUGGACUGUAAAUGACGCUGAGGCUCGAAAGCGUGGGGAGCAAACAGGAUUAGAUACCCGUGUAGUC